This is a non-coding RNA of Trichonephila inaurata madagascariensis, 84 nucleotides long. The record is from the annotation of a GenBank genome assembly. NCBI's taxonomy places the organism in Eukaryota, Metazoa, Arthropoda, Arachnida, Araneae, Nephilidae.
AAGCGCGUGGCCGAGGGGUUUAAAGGCAAUGGACUCGAAAUCCAUCUGUCUACCCGCGUGGUUCGAAUCUACCGGCUGCGAUUU